This 1213-nucleotide ribosomal RNA is filed under the name Ctenocephalides felis (cat flea). Its description in RNAcentral is "SSU rRNA". It matches the Rfam family "Eukaryotic small subunit ribosomal RNA", at positions 647 to 1823 of the family's 1831-position model. Lineage: Eukaryota; Metazoa; Arthropoda; Insecta; Siphonaptera; Pulicidae. The record is from RNAcentral.
AUGUCUGUGGGGACGUCCUACGGUGGGCUUAGCCCGUCAAAAGGCGGCCCAACUCAAAAUCCUACCACGGUGCUCUUCACCGAGUGUCGAGGUGGGCCGGUACGUUUACUUUGAACAAAUUAGAGUGCUUAAAGCAGGCUCAUUCGCCUGAAUAUUGUGUGCAUGGAAUAAUGGAAUAGGACCUCGGUUCUAUUUUGUUGGUUUUCGGAAUUCCGAGGUAAUGAUUAAUAGGGACAACUGGGGGCAUUCGUAUUGCGACGUUAGAGGUGAAAUUCUUGGAUCGUCGCAAGACGGACAGAAGCGAAAGCAUUUGCCAAAUGUGUUUUCAUCAAUCAAGAACGAAAGUUAGAGGUUCGAAGGCGAUCAGAUACCGCCCUAGUUCUAACCAUAAACGAUGCCAGCUAGCGAUCCGCCGAAGUUCCUCCGAUGACUCGGCGGGCAGCUUCCGGGAAACCAAAGCUUUUGGGUUCCGGGGAAGUAUGGUUGCAAAGCUGAAACUUAAAGGAAUUGACGGAAGGGCACUACAAGGAGUGGAGCCUGCGGCUUAAUUUGACUCAACACGGGAAACCUCACCAGGUCCGGACACCGGAAGGAUUGACAGAUUGAGAGCUCUUUCUUGAUUCGGUGGGUGGUGGUGCAUGGCCGUUCUUAGUUGGUGGAGCGAUUUGUCUGGUUAAUUCUGAUAACGAACGAGACUCUAGCCUGCUAAAUAGGCGUACUUUCCGGUAUCGCAAAGACCCUCCGCUUCGGCUUCGGUCGUUGUUGGUUGUGGUUCUUACUACCGGCGUACAAAUAUAUCUUCUUAGAGGGACAGGUGGCAUUUAGUCGCACGAAAUUGAGCAAUAACAGGUCUGUGAUGCCUUAGAUGUUCUGGGCCGCACGCGCGCUACACUGAAGAGAUCAGCAGGUUUUCCUUGGCCGAAAGGUCCGGGUAAUCCGUUGAAGCCUCUUCGUGCUAGGGAUUGGGGCUUGCAAUUCUUCCCCAUGAACGAGGAAUUCCUAGUAAGCGCGAGUCAUAAGCUUGCGUUGAUUACGUCCCUGCCCUUUGUACACACCGCCCGUCGCUACUACCGAUUGAAUUAUUUAGUGAGGUCUUCGGACCGGUGCGCGGCAGCGUUUCGACAUUGCCGAUGUUGCUGGGAAGAUGACCAAACUUGAUUAUUUAGAGGAAGUAAAAGUCGUAACAAGGUUUCCGUAGGUGAACCUGCGGAAG